RNAcentral lists this ribosomal RNA (253 nucleotides) under uncultured bacterium. RNAcentral describes it as "partial 16S ribosomal RNA". It matches the Rfam family "Bacterial small subunit ribosomal RNA", at positions 524 to 776 of the family's 1533-position model. The record is from RNAcentral.
UACGAAGGGGGUUAGCGUUGUUCGGAAUUACUGGGCGUAAAGCGCACGUAGGCGGAUUGCUAAGUCAGGGGUGAAAUCCCGGGGCUCAACCUCGGAACUGCCUUUGAUACUGACAAUCUCGAGUCCGGAAGAGGUGGGUGGAAUUCCUAGUGUAGAGGUGAAAUUCGUAGAUAUUAGGAAGAACACCAGUGGCGAAGGCGGCCCACUGGUCCGGUACUGACGCUGAGGUGCGAAAGCGUGGGGAGCAAACAGG